CUACGGGUUGCUGCAGUGAGGAAUAUUGCACAAUGGGGGGAACCCUGAUGCAGCAACGCCGCGUGGAGGAUGACGCAUUUCGGUGUGUAAACUCCUUUUAUAUGUCAAGAAAAUGACGGUAGCAUAUGAAUAAGCACCGGCUAACUCCGUGCCAGCAGCCGCGGUAAUACGGAGGGUGCAAGCGUUACUCGGAAUCACUGGGCGUAAAGGACGCGUAGGCGGGUUGGAAAGUCAGGUGUGAAAUCCUACAGCUUAACUGUAGGACUGCACUUGAAACUUCUAAUCUAGAGUAUGGGAGGGGGAGAUGGAAUUAGUGGUGUAGGGGUAAAAUCCGUAGAUAUCACUAGGAAUACCUAAAGCGAAGGCGAUCUCCUGGAACAUUACUGACGCUAAGGCGUGAAAGCGUGGGGAGCAGACAGGAUUAGAUACCCCAGUAGUC
Molecule: ribosomal RNA, 439 nt
Filed under: uncultured bacterium
Lineage: Bacteria
Description: partial 16S ribosomal RNA
Rfam family: Bacterial small subunit ribosomal RNA
Source: RNAcentral